This 460-nucleotide ribosomal RNA is filed under the name uncultured bacterium. Its description in RNAcentral is "partial 16S ribosomal RNA". It matches the Rfam family "Bacterial small subunit ribosomal RNA", at positions 338 to 795 of the family's 1533-position model. The record is from RNAcentral.
CCUACGGGAGACAGCAGUGAGGAAUAUUGGUCAAUGGGCUUACGCCUGAACCAGCCAAGUCGCGUGAGGGAGGACGGCCCUACGGGUUGUAAACCUCUAUUGCCGGGGAGCAACGGGCGUCACGUGUGGCGCCACUGAGAGUACCCGGAGAAAAAGCAUCGGCUAACUCCGUGCCAGCAGCCGCGGUAAUACGGAGGAUGCGAGCGUUAUCCGGAUUUAUUGGGUUUAAAGGGUGCGUAGGCGGAUCGUUAAGUCAGUGGUCAAAUUGAGGGGCUCAACCCCUUCCCGCCAUUGAAACUGGCGUUCUUGAGUGGAAGAGAAGUAUGCGGAAUGCGUGGUGUAGCGGUGAAAUGCAUAGAUAUCACGCAGAACCCCGAUUGCGAAGGCAGCAUGCCGGCUUCCGACUGACGCUGAAGCACGAAAGCGUGGGGAUCGAACAGGAUUAGAUACCCUAGUAGUC